This 290-nucleotide ribosomal RNA is filed under the name uncultured bacterium. Its description in RNAcentral is "partial 16S ribosomal RNA". It matches the Rfam family "Bacterial small subunit ribosomal RNA", at positions 335 to 641 of the family's 1533-position model. The record is from RNAcentral.
UGCCUACGGGGGGCAGCAGUGGGGGAUAUUGCACAAUGGGGGGAACCCUGAUGCAGCGACGCCGCGUGGGUGAAGGAGCGUUUCGGCGCGUAAAGCCCUAUCGGCAGGGAAGAAGGAGGACGGUACCUGACUAAGAAGCCCCGGCUAACUACGUGCCCGCAGCCGCGGUCAUACGUAGGGGGCAAGCGUUAUCCGGAUUUACUGGGUGUAAAGGGAGCGUAGGGGGCAUGGUAAGCCAGAAGUGAAAACCCGGGGCUCAACCCCGCGGAUUGCUUUUGGAACUAUCAGGC